Long non-coding RNA from Neltuma alba, 420 nucleotides. RefSeq lists it as uncharacterized. The transcript is spliced from 3 exons. The record is from RefSeq and is a predicted model, not a curated record. Lineage: Eukaryota; Viridiplantae; Streptophyta; Magnoliopsida; Fabales; Fabaceae.
CCUUCCGGAUAACGCAAUCAGUGGUCCGAUUCCAGACGAAAUUGGUGAAAUUACAACUUUAGAAGAUUUAAGCUUGAAUGAUAAUCUAAUGGAAGGGACUCUUCCUUCUAGUCUCGGAAAAUUGACCCAAUUACGCAUGCUGUAAGAAUAUUAUUUCAAGUGCAAAUAAUUUUCUUUUAUCUUAUUAGUUGCAUUGUGACUACCACAUUAGUCUUGUUAUAGAUAAUUUUUUAUAUUGCUUUUAGAUGUGUUAUCUGUUUCUAAGGAUUUGGAACUCGUAGGGAUCUUACUGGAAAUAACUUCUUGGGGGCCAUACCCGAAAGUUUUGGUAAUCUGACAAAACUGGAAUAUAUCUCUUUAGAUGGCACCAACAUAUCAGGAAAAUUACCCAAUUUUAUUGGGAACUGGACCCAACUCCAA